GAUGAAGAACGUAGCGAAAUGCGAUACGUAAUGUGAAUUGCAGAAUUCAGUGAAUCAUCGAAUCUUUGAACGCAUAUUGCGCUCUCUGGUAUUCCGGAGAGCAUGCUUGUUUGAGUAUCAGUAAACACCUCAACUCCCUUUCUUCUUGAAAUGGAGCUGGACUUGAGUGAUCCCAACGCUUUAUUCAUAAAGUGGCGGGUUACUUGAAAUGCAGGUGCAGCUGGACUUUUCUCUGAGCUAUAAGAAUAUCUAUUUAGUCUGCCUCAAAACAGAUUAUUACCUUUGCUGCAGCUAACAUAAAGGAGAUUAGUUCUUGUGCUGACUGAUGCAGGAUUCACAAAGACCGCUUCGGCUGUCUUUGUAAACUCGAUCUCAAAUCAAGUAAGACUACCCGCUGAACUUAAGCAUAUCAAUAAGCGGAGGA
This 424-nucleotide unclassified non-coding RNA is filed under the name soil metagenome. Its description in RNAcentral is "partial contains 5.8S ribosomal RNA, internal transcribed spacer 2, and large subunit ribosomal RNA". The stretch from base 1 to 120 matches the Rfam family "5.8S ribosomal RNA", at positions 35 to 154 of the family's 154-position model. The record is from RNAcentral.